This 208-nucleotide ribosomal RNA is filed under the name Staphylococcus aureus. RNAcentral describes it as "partial 23S ribosomal RNA". It matches the Rfam family "Bacterial large subunit ribosomal RNA", at positions 12 to 217 of the family's 2925-position model. Lineage: Bacteria; Bacillati; Bacillota; Bacilli; Caryophanales; Staphylococcaceae. The record is from RNAcentral.
UAAGGGCGCACGGUGGAUGCCUUGGCACUAGAAGCCGAUGAAGGACGUUACUAACGACGAUAUGCUUUGGGGAGCUGUAAGUAAGCUUUGAUCCAGAGAUUUCCGAAUGGGGAAACCCAGCAUGAGUUAUGUCAUGUUAUCGAUAUGUGAAUACAUAGCAUAUCAGAAGGCACACCCGGAGAACUGAAACAUCUUAGUACCCGGAGGA